UCCCUCUCAGGAUUGCUCCUGGAGAGUUUCCAGUCCUCUACCAGUCUUGGCUACGGGAGGGAGAGUCAAGCAGAGGCAUACCCGUACCAUUCCUAGCUUGGGCAGUAGCUAGCAAGUAGAAGGCAAUCUGCUACAGGU
Molecule: small nucleolar RNA, 138 nt
Organism: Tachyglossus aculeatus (Australian echidna)
Lineage: Eukaryota; Metazoa; Chordata; Mammalia; Monotremata; Tachyglossidae
Source: RefSeq, a predicted model, not a curated record